Long non-coding RNA from Maniola jurtina (meadow brown), 148 nucleotides. RefSeq lists it as uncharacterized. The record is from RefSeq and is a predicted model, not a curated record. NCBI's taxonomy places the organism in Eukaryota, Metazoa, Arthropoda, Insecta, Lepidoptera, Nymphalidae. The transcript has 3 exons.
AAAUCUUUUAAAUAAAUAUUCUGAAACAUUGUAAUAUGGGCCUUUGGAAGUAGUUUCGAUAGCUGCAAAGUGUCGGUGCUAGAUGGCUUACAGUCGCUUCAGUACUGAGUGAACAUACAUAUCACAAACGUCACUGGCAGUAGGUGAA